CGAUACUGAGAAAAUACUGGACCAGUAUCGCCCAUAUCGAUACCAAUACUGAUACUUUUUUGACAAAUAAUGCAUUAUCAAAUAUAAGUACAUUUUCAUGACUUUCAUGUGUUUCGUGUUUUGUUCUAAAUUGUAUUAUUAAUUUAAUAAAACCCAGACAACGUUCAACAGUAAAUAUAAAUAUGAAUGAAUGAAUAAAGAUGAAUUGGUGGUGUUGCCAACUGUAUUUAACGGCCUUUUGCAGAUUGUAUAGGUUGCCAUUGUUUCAUUUUCGGCUUAAAAACAUAGCCACACACUGCUACUCUUUCUUGCUGCCAUCCUUCGUCUGUGUCCUCGUCCUGGUGUGUGUUCCAGAAAGCGGGUUAUUAUUAUUUGGGGAGUUUCAUCGAUGGCACCCACAUUCCUAAUAAAGCUCCAUCAGCCAAUGGGGAAGACUAUGUUAAGAGGAAGUCAUUUCACAAUAUCAAUGUGCAGGACGCUACAAUGGCUUCUUGCUGGGGGACAAAGGGUGCCCUGUUUGAUGACACCCUACCCUGAACCUGAGCCUGGACCACAGAUACGGUUCAACCGGGCCCACAGCAGAACACGGCCAAGGUGGAGA
Betta splendens (Siamese fighting fish) is the source of this 601-nucleotide long non-coding RNA. RefSeq lists it as uncharacterized. The record is from RefSeq and is a predicted model, not a curated record. The transcript has 3 exons. NCBI's taxonomy places the organism in Eukaryota, Metazoa, Chordata, Actinopteri, Anabantiformes, Osphronemidae.